Molecule: ribosomal RNA, 494 nt
Filed under: uncultured bacterium
Lineage: Bacteria
Description: partial 16S ribosomal RNA
Rfam family: Bacterial small subunit ribosomal RNA
Source: RNAcentral
UGACCGCUGGCGGCGUGCCUACUACAUGCACGUCGAGCGAACAGACGAGGAGCUUGCUCCUCUGACGUUAGCGGCGGACGGGUGAGUAACACGUGGAUAACCUACCUAUAAGACUGGGAUAACUUCGGGAAACCGGAGCUAAUACCGGAUAAUAUAUUGAACCGCAUGGUUCAAUAGUGAAAGACGGUUUUGCUGUCACUUAUAGAUGGAUCCGCGCCGCAUUAGCUAGUUGGUAAGGUAACGGCUUACCAAGGCAACGAUGCGUAGCCGACCUGAGAGGGGGAUCGGCCACACUGGAACUGAGACAGGGCCCAGCCCCCUACGGGAGGCAGGAGGAGGGAAUCUUCCGCAAUGGGGGAAAGCCUGACGGAGCAACGCCGCGGGAGGAAUGAAGGUCUUCGGAUCGUAAAACGCUGUUAUGAGGGAAAAAAAAAUGUGUAAGUAACUAUGCACGUCUUGACGGUACCUAAUCAGAAAGCCCCGGCUAACUACGU